AUUGAACGCUGGCGGCAGUCCUAACACAUGCAAGUCGAGCGGAUGAAGGGAGCUUGCUCCUGGAUUCAGCGGCGGACGGGUGAGUAAUGCCUAGGAAUCUGCCUGGUAGUGGGGGAUAACGUCCGGAAACGGGCGCUAAUACCGCAUACGUCCUGAGGGAGAAAGUGGGGGAUCUUCGGACCUCACGCUGUCAGAUGAGCCUAGGUCGGAUUAGCUAGUUGGUGGGGUAAAGGCCUACCAAGGCGACGAUCCGUAACUGGUCUGAGAGGAUGAUCAGUCACACUGGAACUGAGACACGGUCCAGACUCCUACGGGAGGCAGCAGUGGGGAAUAUUGGACAAUGGGCGAAAGCCUGAUCCAGCCAUGCCGCGUGUGUGAAGAAGGUCUUCGGAUUGUAAAGCACUUUAAGUUGGGAGGAAGGGCAGUAAGUUAAUACCUUGCUGUUUUGACGUUACCAACAGAAUAAGCACCGGCUAACUUCGUG
Molecule: ribosomal RNA, 484 nt
Filed under: uncultured bacterium
Lineage: Bacteria
Description: partial 16S ribosomal RNA
Rfam family: Bacterial small subunit ribosomal RNA
Source: RNAcentral